CCCACUGCCCCUGCACCCGCAUCUCCUCUCUGCUCUCCCGCGCCCUAGGAUUAGCCACAGCCGUCGCCGCCGCCACCGCCACCGACCUUAUUCCGGCGAGCUCCGGCGGCCAUGGUCGGCGCGCAGCACGCUACCGAGCUCACCCCGCCCCGCUGCAUCGAUUCCUCUGGCCAGAUCCGUCCCUUCCUCCCUCGAACGCUCGCUCCCAACCCAUCCCUCUGCGGCUAGGGUUUGGUGCACGGCCUCAUCUCCGCCGCCGGCGUGCCUCCGGCGGUCCUCUACGCCUCCUCGCAUGGCUCCUCACGCGGCUGCGCCUGCUGGACGCCGCUUCUCCACCACAAGGCAGUGGCAGAGGAGGGCCUUAUCCACCACCACGCAACGGCAUCCAAGAAAACUAGUAGAAGGGGGUGAGGAAGGAGGAGAAAGACCAGAAGAAGGGCAAGGGAGGUGGGGCGAUCUGCAUGUCCAUGAAGCAGUAGGACGACAACGAGAGGAUGAGUACCUCGACGGCGACGACAACCAGGAGGAUGAACCCACCCACACUACUGGAAACAGGGAUGACGCGGUUCGGGAUCGCCGCGUGCUUCAACGCCACAUCGUCGGCCGUCUCGGAGGCCGCCGCAGUCAUGUUCUAGAUUGCCGCAGUCAUGUUCAAGUCCAAUGAUAUCUUGCGCAAGCAGACCGCUCUCAAGAUACAAUGGUCCGGCAAGCUGCUAUGGUGGUCAAGUGUGUGCUGCCUAGGAAAAUAGAUAUUUAGUUUUAGGUCAUUUCUUGUAAUUUCAGAUAUGGAGUGCUUGUGUUUAGUUUUUG
Triticum aestivum (bread wheat) is the source of this 810-nucleotide long non-coding RNA. RefSeq lists it as uncharacterized. Lineage: Eukaryota; Viridiplantae; Streptophyta; Magnoliopsida; Poales; Poaceae. The transcript has 4 exons. The record is from RefSeq and is a predicted model, not a curated record.